This 1687-nucleotide long non-coding RNA is filed under the name Sus scrofa (pig). RNAcentral's name for it is "lncRNA (ENSSSCG00060046954.1)". The record is from RNAcentral. Lineage: Eukaryota; Metazoa; Chordata; Mammalia; Artiodactyla; Suidae.
GUUGUUGUUGCUAUUUCUUGGGCCGCUCCCGCAGCAUAUGGAGGUUCCCAGGCUAGGGGUUGAAUCGGAGCUGUAGCCACCGGCCUACGCCAGAGCCACAGCAACGCGUGAUCCAAGCCGCGUCUGCAACCUACACCACAGCUCACGGCAACGCCGGAUCCUUAACCCACUGAGCAAGGGCAGGGAUCGAACCUGCAACCUCAUGGAUAUCACAGCCUUUAGAAUAUUUCCCAGGGCCUUGUGACCCUCUAUUAAAAGUAAAGUCCAGGAGUUCCCACUGUGGCUCAGUAUAUUAAGAAUCCAACUAGUAUCCAUGGGGAUGCAGGUUCAAUCCCUGGCCUCGCUCAGUGCGUUAAGGAUCCACUGUGGCCGUGAGCUGUGGCGUAGGCUAUGGCUAUGGCUACAAUUCAGCCUCCUCCUCCCCACCCCCCGCCUCAAAAUUUCCAUGUGCUGUGGGUAUGGCCCUAAAAAGAAAAAAGUGAGGUCCCCUUUGCUGAAGUGAGCAGCUUCAGCAGGACAGGAGCGAUCAUUAGAUAUAGAAUAUCAUGCUCUGCCCCAGAUCUAGUGAGUCUGAACUUGAAUUUUACAAUAUUUCUAGGUGACUCUCACAGACAUUAAAAUUUGAGAACUGAUCUAGGCAACUAUUGAAGAGGCCUGCAGUGAUAGCAGAUAACAAUUAACCCAAGACAAUUAAGUGGAAAUAACCCAGUUAGGAUGAAUUUCAUUAGAUUCAAAAAAUAAAUCCACGGUAGAAACAAAGCAAAUCCUUGCCAGUGAAAAUUCAUUUUAAUCCAAAUCUGCCAGAGACUUUUCACAAAAUGUCAUGUGUAACCAUAAGCAAUUGAUACAGUGGAAAUAUAGCUUGGAUUUGGGGUGUAACUCCCAAAAUUGUGCUGGUCAACUACUGUGUAGGACUCAAAAUAUUCCUAGUAAUCCUAGCUGAGGAAUAACUGUGAACAUUUUUUGUGUCCUUUUUAAUUUUUAAAUUUUUUGGCUUGCUUAUGAACUCCUAAAUUCAUGGGGAAGAUAGGGAGGACAGAAAGAAAAAUACCGUCCCAAGGAAUGUUUUUCUUUUUAUGUCAAUUUGGGUGAUACCUGCCCCAGUGGUUCUCACUCUUUGGUACAUAUUCUAGAAUCAGCUGGAGAACUUUUAAAAAUCCCCAUGCCCAAACUGCACCCCACACCAAUUAAGUAAGAAUCUCUGAGGUUGGGACCCAGGCAUCAGCAGUUUCAAAAAGUCUCCAGGUGACUAUAACGUGCAGCCAAUGGGAGCCAAAGACCUAUGCAAGUCUAACAACUGCAGAGCCAACCAACAAUAAACUCAUAUAAAAAAUAACCACCUCAGGGCAACAGAAAUCAUGCCCAAGGUUUAAGAGAAAAUCAAUUAAGGAGCUACUAGCCCCUAAUCUGAGGUCUCUAUUUGUUUAUCAAGGUUCACAGUCAUUUGUCCCCAUGCUAGUCUUAAGAAAAAUACAGUAAUAUUAAAAUAAAAUGUUCCUGAAUACCUAGAGAUACCCAAGGAGACCACAACACUUCCAUAUUGCAUUAAAGAGCCUUUUUCCAAGGUCAAUGUGAGCUUUACUAUAUAGAUUGUGUUUAUAUAUAAGAUACGAGCACUUUUUAAACUGUCUGAAAAUACUGGUAAUCUGAAAACUAUGACUUGUUUAAAAUCAUACACUCUGUGAUG